CGUUGGCAGCCAUCGUUGGCAGCCAUCUAUUGUAGUUUUUAGUUCCAUCUACGCGUGGUUUAUUUGCAGCAGCAGAUGUUUUCUUUUCCUUCUCUUGCUCUCCUCGCUCUCUCCGUCUAGUCUCUGAGUCAAGACAUGCCAUCAUCUGUGUUACUGGGUUUUCUUAUGAUGGAGAGGAAGAGAUAUUUAGUCUGAGACGUCGAUCUACGUGGAUAGGCCAAUAUAUAAGUUGGUUUUUGUCGUGGGUUAUCGAUUUCGGUUUGCUGUGGAUCUCUACAGUAACAUAGGGCACGAGGGUUGAAUAAUUAUGCUCCUGGAGUUGAAAAGGAGUUCAAUUUGUUUGGUUGGGUUUGCACUAUUGGUGAAUUCGGAGGCAAAAAUGAAAGUUGAAAUUGGCAGACAAAUGUGGAUUCUGCAGUUUUGACUCAUGCAAAGCAGUAAAUGGACUACCAACUGCUAAGGCCUAGAGGUACGCUUAGCUUGGGGGAAAAAAAACUAUUGCAUUAUAGCUUCAGAGUUAUGACAUGACUGUUCAUUGCUAAUUGCUAAAUGGUCAAAAUGGUUACAGACGUCCUUAGGUAAACCAAUCAGUUUCUGUCCAGUGGAAACAAUUUCCAGAAUAAGUGUGGUAUGAUUUACAGCUGAUUGUGAAUGUGAUUGGGUGUAUAUUUGAGUUCUGUUAUUUGUAUGAAGUUUUCUAUUCGCGCUCAUCUAGAAACUGAACUCGGGCUUACAAGAUACAAAGAGUAAGCUAUGAAAUAUGCAGGAAAAUAUAUAAAAUAAAUUUAGCACAAUAACAAAACAAGUUUGGUUAUAUCAGGAUUUUGAAUGGUGCAGACAGACGAGUAAAAAGAGGAGAAGUUGAUACAGCUAUGUAAAGAGCUCCUAGAAUGACCGAGGUUGUUGACAAGGAACUACUCCAGGUAUAUUUUCAGAUGCAUUGUUGUGGAGUAACUGGAAUUGUGGAACAUUUUUUUCUCUGUUAUCAAUGAACUUAUGAGAGCCUUGACUUUGUGGUUUUUCUAUCUAACUAUGUAAGACAUGCUUUUAGGGUUCUUUAAAAUUGAGUUUGACGAAUGGUAGAAAUGGGAUACUUUUCUUAUGAUAUAAAUAAAAUGGUGGUACGUUGGUUGAAGAAAAAGGGGAAGAAAGAAGCGUAUAUCGAUCGUGAUGGUUUUGAUUAUGCAAGGACAAUAAUCGUUGUCGUUCUUAAAUUCCUGUAGUCUCUUUGGUUGUCUUAUUGUUGGCUAUUUGGUAUUUGUAGAAUUGCACUUAGGAGAAUGAGUCUGCAAGACUGCAACUAUUUGAGAUUGAUCAGUUUAAAUUGUUCUUAAAUUCCUGUAGAGUGAAGCUACUUGGUACUAAUUGUAUUGUCUUUGUUAUGAUUAAUGCAGGAGAUCUUCAUUGGAAAAUUGCUUCUGCUUAUAUCAAUAGGAUCAGUCAGGUAAAGCUCCUUGCAUGACUGUGAUGAACUGGUCAUCAUUCAGCAGUGAACAAUUGCAUGUGUUUUGUGUUCACGCUUCAUACGAUGUAUCAGUUGGCAAUGAACAAAGUUGUGAUCCUUGGGGUUUGUAGUUUUUGGUGUGUAUGUAUAAUGAACAAUAGGUGCAUUCAUAGUGAGGAUGCAGCCUUGCCAGAUAUUACAUUGUUUUGUAUACGUAAAUGUAGAAUCCGUUUCAGACUGA
RNA transcript from Fragaria vesca subsp. vesca, 1685 nucleotides. RefSeq lists it as uncharacterized. The record is from RefSeq and is a predicted model, not a curated record. NCBI's taxonomy places the organism in Eukaryota, Viridiplantae, Streptophyta, Magnoliopsida, Rosales, Rosaceae. The transcript has 2 exons.